Molecule: long non-coding RNA, 713 nt
Filed under: Monodelphis domestica (gray short-tailed opossum)
Lineage: Eukaryota; Metazoa; Chordata; Mammalia; Didelphimorphia; Didelphidae
Description: lncRNA (ENSMODG00000049566.1)
Source: RNAcentral
GUCUUUCACAUUCAACUUGGCCAUGGUUUCAGCUUGAGACCUUGGACUGCUCUUCAAUUUUUCUUUUAGGACUAACACAUGGGUGAGUGAAAAGGGCUAACUCACUUUCCUGGCUUUUCUGGAGGUACUAGCCUCUGGAGAGGCCCCUUGUCUUGGGAGAGGCCUCAUGGCUAGAACCUUUGCUUAAAUUACCCCUGGAUCCUUUUGCUUGAGCCUCUGAAGCCCUGCCUGGUUUGGAACCGGCCAGAGUAAGUAUCUAUUCUCUCUUAGUUUGUUACUUUUACUCUUUCCCUCUAUUUUAUAAACAAAUUGCUAUAAAGUCAUUCUGAAUUGAGUAAUAAUUUUGAAGACCAUAGUCUUAUCUAACAUGUUUUUGUUUGUUUUUAACUCUUAUAAGCCAGAAAGAAAAAAAAAAGAAGACUGUGAAGCAACAAUCAGGAUAAAGGAGGACUUAUCAGCUUCCACACUAAAUGAUCAAAAGCCUCUACCACAAUGCCUACUAUGUGCCAGACACUGGUGGGAAUACAAAGGCUAUGAAGAUAUAGAAGGGAAAAAAGCAUGCCAUGAGAGCUUGGAUUUUUCUAAUAGACAAUUCUACAUAUAAGUAGGUAUUAUAAAACAAGAAAAAGAAUAGAACUCUAACAACUAAAAGCAAUCAAGAAGUUUUAUUGUUUUGACAAUAAAUAAAUAAAGUUUUUCUUUCCUAUUUGGCA